Molecule: long non-coding RNA, 998 nt
Organism: Cryptomeria japonica (Japanese cedar)
Lineage: Eukaryota; Viridiplantae; Streptophyta; Pinopsida; Cupressales; Cupressaceae
Exons: 3
Source: RefSeq, a predicted model, not a curated record
AUAGAUACUAGGUGGAUAUCCACGCUGGCAAUAGGGUAAUCUUCUCUCCAUCUCUCCAUGUAAGUCUUCGAUGGGGAAACCACACCGAUAUUAGAACCCUUGAGAUCCAAACUUCAUCUUAUUCCCAAGCAUUGUCCAGUAAAGCUGCUAAUGAAAUAAUUAGAGUUAUCAGUGUUUAAGGAAAUAACGCUUGACACCAAUAGAUAAUGGCAACCACUCUCAUUGCUAAAGCACCGAUGAUGAUAUUAAAUGAUAAUUAAGACAGACAGCGAUUGUUUUAUUCAAACCGAUUUGAUUAUGAAGACACAACUAUUGGUAUGAUUAACCGAUUGUCAAGGAGAGGUGUGAUAUUCGUAAGGGGAGGUAUAAGACGUGUCUCUUAAGGAAACCCCUUUGUGAUGUAAAUAUAUAUUUGCAAUCUUUUCAUCCACAAAAGGGGAAGGAAGGAGAGAACGAAGUCUGCUCUCAACCCACACAUCAAAUUAUUAAAAGAGACAGAAAAAUCAAAAGAGAGAAAGAGGAAGUCUGAUAAAUAUCGAAGGAGAUAAAAUACAGGCUGCAGGUCAAACUGCCUAACCUACCAAGUCUGGCUCAACCCACCCUUACUCGAGCACUUGAAGAUGGCAAUGUUGAUGAACUUGUUGGUCACCAAUUGCAGAACUAAAAUUCAAAUAAGAUGAUGCAACUGGUUGCAUGUGCAGCCUCUUCUGUUCAAUAUUUUGCAAGAAGACACCCUCUUAUGGCACAGAUAGCUCGAGCCUUGGAAGGUGAUGUUUCUCUUGAUGAUCUAAAUGAGAGAGUGAAGCUAGGGCAUAGUACUGUGUAUGGAUCAUAUGGAAGCACGGACUAUGAUUCCAGCCAAUAUCUUUUUAAAGCUUUUCAUUAGUUUGGCUUAUUCUGUAAAAUUUUAAGCAGAGCAUUGCAAUUGAAUGUUUAAAAUUUCCUAGACCACAAGCAUGAAUGUUUGAUAGUCUCAGAAAAUUGUGACAGAAAAUUAU